Molecule: ribosomal RNA, 1373 nt
Filed under: uncultured bacterium
Lineage: Bacteria
Description: bacterial SSU rRNA
Rfam family: Bacterial small subunit ribosomal RNA
Source: RNAcentral
GAUGAACGCUGGCGGCGUGCCUAAUACAUGCAAGUCGAGCGAACGGACGAGAAGCUUGCUUCUCUGAUGUUAGCGGCGGACGGGUGAGUAACACGUGGAUAACCUACCUAUAAGACUGGGAUAACUUCGGGAAACCGGAGCUAAUACCGGAUAAUAUUUUGAACCGCAUGGUUCAAAAGUGAAAGACGGUCUUGCUGUCACUUAUAGAUGGAUCCGCGCUGCAUUAGCUAGUUGGUAAGGUAACGGCUUACCAAGGCAACGAUGCAUAGCCGACCUGAGAGGGUGAUCGGCCACACUGGAACUGAGACACGGUCCAGACUCCUACGGGAGGCAGCAGUAGGGAAUCUUCCGCAAUGGGCGAAAGCCUGACGGAGCAACGCCGCGUGAGUGAUGAAGGUCUUCGGAUCGUAAAACUCUGUUAUUAGGGAAGAACAUAUGUGUAAGUAACUGUGCACAUCUUGACGGUACCUAAUCAGAAAGCCACGGCUAACUACGUGCCAGCAGCCGCGGUAAUACGUAGGUGGCAAGCGUUAUCCGGAAUUAUUGGGCGUAAAGCGCGCGUAGGCGGUUUUUUUAAGUCUGAUGUGAAAGCCCACGGCUCAACCGUGGAGGGUCAUUGGAAACUGGAAAACUUGAGUGCAGAAGAGGAAAGUGGAAUUCCAUGUGUAGCGGUGAAAUGCGCAGAGAUAUGGAGGAACACCAGUGGCGAAGGCGACUUUCUGGUCUGUAACUGACGCUGAUGUGCGAAAGCGUGGGGAUCAAACAGGAUUAGAUACCCUGGUAGUCCACGCCGUAAACGAUGAGUGCUAAGUGUUAGGGGGUUUCCGCCCCUUAGUGCCGCAGCUAACGCAUUAAGCACUCCGCCUGGGGAGUACGACCGCAAGGUUGAAACUCAAAGGAAUUGACGGGGACCCGCACAAGCGGUGGAGCAUGUGGUUUAAUUCGAAGCAACGCGAAGAACCUUACCAAAUCUUGACAUCCUUUGACAACUCUAGAGAUAGAGCCUUCCCCUUCGGGGGACAAAGUGACAGGUGGUGCAUGGUUGUCGUCAGCUCGUGUCGUGAGAUGUUGGGUUAAGUCCCGCAACGAGCGCAACCCUUAAGCUUAGUUGCCAUCAUUAAGUUGGGCACUCUAAGUUGACUGCCGGUGACAAACCGGAGGAAGGUGGGGAUGACGUCAAAUCAUCAUGCCCCUUAUGAUUUGGGCUACACACGUGCUACAAUGGACAAUACAAAGGGCAGCGAAACCGCGAGGUCAAGCAAAUCCCAUAAAGUUGUUCUCAGUUCGGAUUGUAGUCUGCAACUCGACUACAUGAAGCUGGAAUCGCUAGUAAUCGUAGAUCAGCAUGCUACGGUGAAUACGUUCCCGGGUCU